This 250-nucleotide ribosomal RNA is filed under the name uncultured prokaryote. RNAcentral describes it as "partial 16S ribosomal RNA". It matches the Rfam family "Archaeal small subunit ribosomal RNA", at positions 474 to 723 of the family's 1478-position model. The record is from RNAcentral.
CACCGGCAGCUCUAGUGGUAGCCAUUUUUAUUGGGCCUAAAGCGUUCGUAGCCGGUUUGAUAAGUCUCUGGUGAAAUCCUGUAGCUUAACUGUGGGAAUUGCUGGAGAUACUAUUAGACUUGAGGUCGGGAGAGGUUAGCGGUACUCCCAGGGUAGGGGUGAAAUCCUGUAAUCCUGGGAGGACCACCUGUGGCGAAGGCGGCUAACUGGAACGAACCUGACGGUGAGGGACGAAAGCCAGGGGCGCGAA